UACGAGGGGGGCGAGCGUUGUUCGGAAUUAUUGGGCGUAAAGGGUGCGUAGGCGGCCUGACAAGUCUGAUGUGAAAUCCCUGGGCUCAACCCAGGGCCUGCAUCGGAAACUGUCGGGCUUGAGUAUGGGAGAGGUGAGUGGAAUUUCCGGUGUAGCGGUGAAAUGCGUAGAUAUCGGAAGGAACACCUGUGGCGAAAGCGGCUCACUGGACCAUUACUGACGCUGAGGCACGAAA
This 235-nucleotide ribosomal RNA is filed under the name uncultured bacterium. RNAcentral describes it as "partial 16S ribosomal RNA". It matches the Rfam family "Bacterial small subunit ribosomal RNA", at positions 524 to 758 of the family's 1533-position model. The record is from RNAcentral.